UCAUGGCGCAGCUACCAUGCAGUCGAGCGGUAACAUUUCAAAAGCUUGCUUUUGAAGAUGACGAGCGGCGGACGGGUGAGUAAUGCCUGGGAAUUUGCCCAUUUGUGGGGGAUAACAGUUGGAAACGACUGCUAAUACCGCAUACGCCCUACGGGGGAAAGCAGGGGACCUUCGGGCCUUGCGCUGAUGGAUAAGCCCAGGUGGGAUUAGCUAGUAGGUGAGGUAAAGGCUCACCUAGGCGACGAUCCCUAGCUGGUCUGAGAGGAUGAUCAGCCACACUGGGACUGAGACACGGCCCAGACUCCUACGGGAGGCAGCAGUGGGGAAUAUUGCACAAUGGGGGAAACCCUGAUGCAGCCAUGCCGCGUGUGUGAAGAAGGCCUUCGGGUUGUAAAGCACUUUCAGCGAGGAGGAAAGGGUGUAAGUUAAUACCUUACAUCUGUGACGUUACUCGCAGAAGAAGCACCGGCUAACUCCGUGCCAGCAGCCGCGGUAAUACGGAGGGUGCGAGCGUUAAUCGGAAUUACUGGGCGUAAAGCGUGCGCAGGCGGUUUGUUAAGCGAGAUGUGAAAGCCCCGGGCUCAACCUGGGAACCGCAUUUCGAACUGGCAAACUAGAGUCUUGUAGAGGGGGGUAGAAUUCCAGGUGUAGCGGUGAAAUGCGUAGAGAUCUGGAGGAAUACCGGUGGCGAAGGCGGCCCCCUGGACAAAGACUGACGCUCAGGCACGAAAGCGUGGGGAGCAAACAGGAUUAGAUACCCUGGUAGUCCACGCCGUAAACGAUGUCUACUCGGAGUUUGGUGUCUUGAACACUGGGCUCUCAAGCUAACGCAUUAAGUAGACCGCCUGGGGAGUACGGCCGCAAGGUUAAAACUCAAAUGAAUUGACGGGGGCCCGCACAAGCGGUGGAGCAUGUGGUUUAAUUCGAUGCAACGCGAAGAACCUUACCUACUCUUGACAUCCACAGAACCUUGUCAGAGAUGAAUUGGUGCCUUCGGGAACUGUGAGACAGUGCUGCAUGGCUGUCGUCAGCUCGUGUGUGAAAUGUUGGGAUUAGUCCCGCACGAGCGCAACCCCUAUCCUUACUUGCCAGCGGGUCAUGCCGGGAACUUUAAGGAG
RNAcentral lists this ribosomal RNA (1118 nucleotides) under Shewanella algae. RNAcentral's name for it is "bacterial SSU rRNA". It matches the Rfam family "Bacterial small subunit ribosomal RNA", at positions 37 to 1147 of the family's 1533-position model. The record is from RNAcentral. Lineage: Bacteria; Pseudomonadati; Pseudomonadota; Gammaproteobacteria; Alteromonadales; Shewanellaceae.